UACGUAGGGGGCUAGCGUUGUCCGGAAUCAUUGGGCGUAAAGAGCGUGUAGGCGGCCCGGUAAGUCCGCUGUGAAAGUCGGGGGCUCAACCCUCGAAAGCCGGUGGAUACUGUCGGGCUAGAGUGCGGAAGAGGCGAGUGGAAUUCCAGGUGUAGCGGUGAAAUGCGUAGAUAUCUGGAGGAACACCGGUGGCGAAGGCGGCAUCCUGGACCGACACUGACGCUGAGGAGCGAAAGCCAGGGGAGCAAACGGG
RNAcentral lists this ribosomal RNA (253 nucleotides) under uncultured bacterium. RNAcentral describes it as "partial 16S ribosomal RNA". It matches the Rfam family "Bacterial small subunit ribosomal RNA", at positions 524 to 776 of the family's 1533-position model. The record is from RNAcentral.